UACGGAGGGAGCUAGCGUUGUUCGGAAUUACUGGGCGUAAAGCGCACGUAGGCGGCUUUGUAAGUUAGAGGUGAAAGCCCGGGGCUCAACUCCGGAACUGCCUUUAAGACUGCAUCGCUUGAAUCCAGGAGAGGUGAGUGGAAUUCCGAGUGUAGAGGUGAAAUUCGUAGAUAUUCGGAAGAGCACCAGUGGCGAAGGCGGCUCACUGGACUGGUAUUGACGCUGAGGUGCGAAAGCGUGGGGAGCAAACAGG
This 253-nucleotide ribosomal RNA is filed under the name uncultured bacterium. RNAcentral describes it as "partial 16S ribosomal RNA". It matches the Rfam family "Bacterial small subunit ribosomal RNA", at positions 524 to 776 of the family's 1533-position model. The record is from RNAcentral.